UACGAAGUGGGCUAGCGUUGCUCGGAAUCACUGGGCGUAAAGGGCGCGUAGGCGGAUCUUUAAGUCGGGGGUGAAAGCCCAGGGCUCAACCCUGGAAUUGCCUUCAAUACUGGAGAUCUUGAGUCCGGAAGAGGUAAGUGGAACUGCGAGUGUAGAGGUGAAAUUCGUAGAUAUUCGCAAGAACACCAGUGGCGAAGGCGGCUUACUGGGCCGGUUCUGACGCUGAGGCGCGAAAGCGUGGGGAGCAAACAGG
This 253-nucleotide ribosomal RNA is filed under the name uncultured bacterium. RNAcentral describes it as "partial 16S ribosomal RNA". It matches the Rfam family "Bacterial small subunit ribosomal RNA", at positions 524 to 776 of the family's 1533-position model. The record is from RNAcentral.